Molecule: long non-coding RNA, 313 nt
Filed under: Helianthus annuus (common sunflower)
Lineage: Eukaryota; Viridiplantae; Streptophyta; Magnoliopsida; Asterales; Asteraceae
Description: hypothetical non coding rna
Source: RNAcentral
GAAUCAGAUCUAAAGCUCUAAGUUGGAACCAUUGUUUCAUACCUGAGCUAUUUGAUCUAGAUUAGCACUCGGGGACCCUCCCUUAUGGUGCCGUUGGUAUUCCGUGAUCUUUAGCAUUAUCUGGUUAUUAUACAAGGAACUCAAAGCAAUCUCAGGAGAUGUUCCAUAAGACGUUGAUCACAAUACUAGGGCGGACCUGUGCCUUUGAGCCUAACAAUGAAGAUAGGCUAGUAUAAAUAUGUUAUGAACUUGGUAUUUCUUGUUUUGAAACAAUGUACUACUCUUGUUUAUAAAUAAAAUACAACUUGUAUGC